CCCCCAGACUCCUACGGGAGGCAGCAGUGGGGGAUAUUGCACAAUGGGGGGAACCCUGAUGCAGCGACGCCGCGUGGGUGAAGGAGUAUUUCGGUAUGUAAAGCCCUAUCGGCAGGGAAGAAGCAAGACGGUACCUGACUAAGAAGCCCCGGCUAACUACGUGCCAGCAGCCGCGGUAAUACGUAGGGGGCAAGCGUUAUCCGGAUUUACUGGGUGUAAAGGGAGCGCAGACGGCAGUGCAAGUCUGGAGUGAAAGCCCGGGGCCCAACCCCGGAACUGCUCUGGAAACUGUGCGGCUAGAGUACUGGAGGGGCAGGCGGAAUUCCUGGUGUAGCGGUGAAAUGCGUAGAUAUAAGGAAGAACACCAGUGGCGAAGGCGGAUGACUGGACGGCAACUGACGGUGAGGCGCGAAAGCGUGGGGAGCAAACAGGAUUAGAUACCCUAGUA
Molecule: ribosomal RNA, 448 nt
Filed under: uncultured bacterium
Lineage: Bacteria
Description: partial 16S ribosomal RNA
Rfam family: Bacterial small subunit ribosomal RNA
Source: RNAcentral